RNAcentral lists this long non-coding RNA (665 nucleotides) under Rattus norvegicus (Norway rat). RNAcentral's name for it is "long non-coding RNA NONRATT015575". The record is from RNAcentral. Lineage: Eukaryota; Metazoa; Chordata; Mammalia; Rodentia; Muridae.
CCUGAGGAUUCAUGUUCAGUUUCUAGGAACUGCACGACAGAUCACAGCCGACUCGACUUCCAUUUCCAGACGGUCCAACCCUUCCUCUGGUCUCCAAGGGCACUGCAGAGGUCAGAAGACGGCAUUGAAUGCUCUGGAACUGGAGUUCCAAAUGACUGUGAAUCACCUUAGGUAUGUUGGAAACCAAAUCUGGAUUUUCUGCAAGAUCAACAGGAACAGUGUUCGCCAGAACUGGUAUUGUGUGGCUGUGAUUCUUGAGGGUCAUGAGUUCAGAUCAUCCUCAGCUACAAAGGCCCCUCGCCGUUGCCUCCGUCUGUCACCGCGAGCAUCCAAGCGCAGAAAGGAAAUGCGAAGCGAGACAGCUGUACGGGAGGCUUCGCCUUCUAAAGAAGUUGACAGACAAAUGGCACAGGGGUCCCUGCUCUUGCCAGCUGAGGGCUUAGCUUCCAGAAAGCGCCCCUCUAGGGGAACAAGCGAGGCAGUGUGGAGCUGCUGAAAGGCCUCAUUGAGGCUACAGCCCGAGGCUCUUGUAGCUCAUUGUCUGGUAUGCGGCGCCCUUCCUAAACCGCUCUCCACAGUUCUGCACCCCCCCAACCCCCAAACCUCAGAAACCACCCCCUGCCCUCCGUUACACUUGGUGCUUCAAAUGAAAUUCUCAAAAGGUA